ACAUUGAAAUACCAGUUCUCAUAUGAUCAUGAAGUUAAGCAAUGUUGAGCCUGGUCAGUAACCAGAUAGGUAACCACUUGGGAAUACCAGGUGCUGUAU
Non-coding RNA from Acanthosepion pharaonis, 99 nucleotides. NCBI's taxonomy places the organism in Eukaryota, Metazoa, Mollusca, Cephalopoda, Sepiida, Sepiidae. The record is from the annotation of a GenBank genome assembly.